GUCGUGAAGAGGGAAACAACCCAGACCGCCAGCUAAGGUCCCAAAGUCAUGGUUAAGUGGGAAACGAUGUGGGAAGGCCCAGACAGCCAGGAUGUUGGCUUAGAAGCAGCCAUCAUUUAAAGAAAGCGUAAUAGCUCACUGGUCGAGUCGGCCUGCGCGGAAGAUGUAACGGGGCUAAACCAUGCACCGAAGCUGCGGCAGCGACGCUUAUGCGUUGUUGGGUAGGGGAGCGUUCUGUAAGCCUGUGAAGGUGUGCUGUGAGGCAUGCUGGAGGUAUCAGAAGUGCGAAUGCUGACAUAAGUAACGAUAAAGCGGGUGAAAAGCCCGCUCGCCGGAAGACCAAGGGUUCCUGUCCAACGUUAAUCGGGGCAGGGUGAGUCGACCCCUAAGGCGAGGCCGAAAGGCGUAGUCGAUGGGAAACAGGUUAAUAUUCCUGUACUUGGUGUUACUGCGAAGGGGGGACGGAGAAGGCUAUGUUGGCCGGGCGACGGUUGUCCCGGUUUAAGCGUGUAGGCUGGUUUUCCAGGCAAAUCCGGAAAAUCAAGGCUGAGGCGUGAUGACGAGGCACUACGGUGCUGAAGCAACAAAUGCCCUGCUUCCAGGAAAAGCCUCUAAGCAUCAGGUAACAUCAAAUCGUACCCCAAACCGACACAGGUGGUCAGGUAGAGAAUACCAAGGCGCUUGAGAGAA
This 690-nucleotide ribosomal RNA is filed under the name Escherichia coli. Its description in RNAcentral is "partial 23S ribosomal RNA". It matches the Rfam family "Bacterial large subunit ribosomal RNA", at positions 1007 to 1698 of the family's 2925-position model. The record is from RNAcentral. Lineage: Bacteria; Pseudomonadati; Pseudomonadota; Gammaproteobacteria; Enterobacterales; Enterobacteriaceae.